AGGAUAAACGCUGGCGGCGUGCCUAACACAUGCAAGUCGAACGUCUCUUUCUUCUGGAAGAGGAGUGGCGGACGGGUGAGGAACACGUGGGAACCUGCCCUUCAGUGAGGAAUACCGGCGAGAAAUCGCCGACAAGACCGCAUAGCCCUCUCUGGUGAGAGCCAGAGAAGGAAAGCUUCGCAAGAGGCGCUGGAGGAGGGGCCUGCGUCCGAUUAGCUAGUUGGUGGGGUAAGAGCCUACCAAGGCGUCGAUCGGUAGCUGGUCUGAGAGGACGAUCAGCCACACUGGGAUUGAGAACGGCCCAGACUCCUACGGGGGGCAGCAGUGAGGAAUUUUCGUCAAUGGGGGCAACCCUGAACGAGCAACGCCGCGUGCAGGAAGAAGGUUUUCGGAUCGUAAACUGCUUUUCUCGGGGAAGAGAACGGACGGUACCCGAGGAAUCAGCCCCGGCUAACUACGCGCCAGCAGCCGC
Molecule: ribosomal RNA, 472 nt
Filed under: uncultured bacterium
Lineage: Bacteria
Description: SSU rRNA
Rfam family: Bacterial small subunit ribosomal RNA
Source: RNAcentral